Molecule: ribosomal RNA, 520 nt
Filed under: uncultured Glomus
Lineage: Eukaryota; Fungi; Glomeromycota; Glomeromycetes; Glomerales; Glomeraceae
Description: SSU rRNA
Rfam family: Eukaryotic small subunit ribosomal RNA
Source: RNAcentral
CGCAGCCGCGGUAAUUCCAGCUCCAAUAGCGUAUAUUAAAGUUGCUGCAGUUAAAAAGCUCGUAGUUGAAUUUCGGGACUAAUAUGUUGGUCGUGCCUCGGUACGUACUGAUAUUUUUGGUUUCUCCCUUCUGACGAACCUUGAUGUCAUUAAUUUGGUGUCUUGGGAAAUCAGGACUGUUACUUUGAAAAAAUUAGAGUGUUUAAAGCAGGCUCACGCUUGAAUACAUUAGCAUGGAAUAAUGAAAUAGGACGUUUGAUUCUAUUUUGUUGGUUUCUAGGAUCGACGUAAUGAUUAAUAGGGAUAGUUGGGGGCAUUAGUAUUCAAUUGUCAGAGGUGAAAUUCUUGGAUUUAUUGAAGACUAACUACUGCGAAAGCAUUUGCCAAGGAUGUUUUCAUUAAUCAAGAACGAAAGUUAGGGGAUCGAAGACGAUCAGAUACCGUCGUAGUCUUAACCAUAAACUAUGCCGACUAGGGAUCGGAUGAUGUUAAUUUUUUAAUGACUCAUUCGGCGCCUUAC